RNAcentral lists this transfer RNA (72 nucleotides) under Nocardia puris. It matches the Rfam family "tRNA". Rfam says of the family: Transfer RNA (tRNA) molecules are approximately 80 nucleotides in length. Their secondary structure includes four short double-helical elements and three loops (D, anti-codon, and T loops). The record is from Rfam by way of RNAcentral. Lineage: Bacteria; Bacillati; Actinomycetota; Actinomycetes; Mycobacteriales; Nocardiaceae.
UCCCCUGUGGUCUAGGCGGAAGGACGCCGGAGUUUGGUUCCGGAAGGCGAGGUUCGAGUCCUCGCGGGGGAG